CAAAAAAAAAUCCAAAAAAAAA
Molecule: small RNA, 22 nt
Filed under: Arabidopsis thaliana (thale cress)
Lineage: Eukaryota; Viridiplantae; Streptophyta; Magnoliopsida; Brassicales; Brassicaceae
Description: ATSL150480
Source: RNAcentral